This 253-nucleotide ribosomal RNA is filed under the name uncultured bacterium. RNAcentral describes it as "partial 16S ribosomal RNA". It matches the Rfam family "Bacterial small subunit ribosomal RNA", at positions 524 to 776 of the family's 1533-position model. The record is from RNAcentral.
UACGUAGGGUGCGAGCGUUAAUCGGAAUUACUGGGCGUAAAGCGUGCGCAGGCGGUUUUGCAAGCCGGAUGUGAAAUCCCCGGGCUUAACCUGGGAACUGCAUUUGUGACUGCAUCGCUGGAGUGCGGCAGAGGAGACUGGAAUUCCUGGUGUAGCAGUGAAAUGCGUAGAUAUCAGGAGGAAUACCGAUGGCGAAGGCAGGUCUCUGGGCUGACACUGACGCUCAUGCACGAAAGCGUGGGGAGCAAACAGG